This 343-nucleotide ribosomal RNA is filed under the name uncultured fungus. RNAcentral's name for it is "SSU rRNA". It matches the Rfam family "Eukaryotic small subunit ribosomal RNA", at positions 292 to 636 of the family's 1831-position model. Lineage: Eukaryota; Fungi. The record is from RNAcentral.
GGUUCAUUCAAAUUUCUUCCCUAUCAACUUUCGAUGUUUGGGUAUUGGCCAAACAUGGUUGCAACGGGUAACGGAGGGUAGGGCUCGACCCCGGAGAAGGAGCCUGAGAAACGGCUACUACAUCCAAGGAAGGCAGCAGGCGCGCAAAUUACCCAAUCCCGACCGGGGAGGUAGUGACAAUAAAUACUGAUACAGGGCUCUUUUGGGUCUUGUAAUUGGAAUGAGUACAAUUUAAAUCCCUUAACGAGGAACAAUUGGAGGGCAAGUCUGGUGCCAGCAGCCGCGGUAAUUCCAGCUCCAAUAGCGUAUAUUAAGGUUGGUGUGGUUAAGAAGCUCGUAGUUG